RNAcentral lists this ribosomal RNA (253 nucleotides) under uncultured bacterium. RNAcentral describes it as "partial 16S ribosomal RNA". It matches the Rfam family "Bacterial small subunit ribosomal RNA", at positions 524 to 776 of the family's 1533-position model. The record is from RNAcentral.
UACGAAGGGGGCUAGCGUUGUUCGGAAUUACUGUGCGUAAAGCGCAUGUAGGCGGAUAUUUAAGUCAGGGGUGAAAUCCCGCAGCUCAACUGCGGAACUGCCUUUGAUACUGGGUAUCUUGAGUAUGGAAGAGGUGAGUGGAAUUCCGAGUGUAGAGGUGAAAUUCGUAGAUAUUCGGAGGAACACCAGUGGCGAAGGCGGCUCACUGGUCCAUUACUGACGCUGAGGUGCGAAAGCGUGGGGAGCAAACAGG